Molecule: long non-coding RNA, 1359 nt
Filed under: Carassius auratus (goldfish)
Lineage: Eukaryota; Metazoa; Chordata; Actinopteri; Cypriniformes; Cyprinidae
Description: lncRNA (ENSCARG00000068720.1)
Source: RNAcentral
GAACAUGGCGCAAGAACAGCUUGAGUUUAGUGAUACAUUUUAAUACACACAGAAUAAUCAAGCAUGUACAGCAUCACUUAACAGUGAAACUUAAUUCACAAAAUACGUGCAUCUUGCUCCAUCUUCCCCUAUAUGAGAUGUGUACCAGCCAUCUACAUGCUCGCUCUCUCUCUUCUCUUUUAUCAAUUUCUCAUGGAGAUGCUUGUCGGAGAUCAUAUCCUAGAACUGCACAUUUUGGAUGUCUUAUCUGACACACCCAUCUCAGGGCUUGGAGCCUUUUGUAAUGAGCUUACGAUAUAAAUCAGGGAGACCUCCAAAAUGAGCAGUACUUGAGUUAUCCAGCACCAGAACAUACUCCUGUACAUACCUUUGCAGUCACUAAUCAAUAAUAACCUGCAUUUAGAAGUGUACUGAAGUCCAUCCAGCAUGCAGCAACUGUGCGGGCAACAGGCUGAACUUCUGUCAACAGCUGAGUCUCCAGCGACAGCUGUGGCUGUACAGAAAUUCUCAGAUCUUCACAAACCACCAAUCAUCACCCCACUCUCUCUGGGACCAUGUAAUCGUGAAACACAACUGGCUGAACCUUCCUCUGCAUCCUCCACAUCUUCUGUUGGAGUCUGACCAGUCACUCUCUCUAAAGUGAAAACCCGUGACCUUUUUCCUCGUCUGUCCCAGUACCCGACUUGCUUUCAAGCCCUCCCAGUGGGAGGCCGGGAGUAACUUAAUUUUUCAGCCUACUCUUCUGUCACCUGAUACCCUUGAAGGGACGUUUCUCCCCUGAGCGUCUGUGUAAACUGGGCUCCACUUCUGCUUCUCCCUCCUGAUGUCUGUCUGUGACUAAAACCAGAUGGAAAUCUGAAGUCCUGCUUUGGCCCAACAUGUUCAGGGCCUCGCUCCUUGACACAAAUGUUUCCCUUUCCUCUUAUGUGUGUUCAUUCUUUUUCUACUAUCAAAUGAGAUUGAUUCCUCCAAGGGCCCGGUUAUUUGAGAGGCCGGGGCAAUAUGGAAGUGGGGGGGGGGGGGGGGGGUUGUGGAAUGAUAAUCUGUCUGUGUGAGUGCCUGGAGCAGCUUUUCUGUACAGUUUUAAAUGAAUUGUAAUGUAGUUGGUGAAGACAAACGCAAUAAAUCUGACUCCCUUCUAAAUGUGCUUUUAAAGUAAACUUUUUUUUUUUUUUUUUUACUGCAUAUUUCACAGUGAAACUUGAUAUUUAACAAUUAAAAAUUGCUCGCUGGGAUCAAUUGAGAGUUGGUUGGAUCACGAAAAGUAUUUUAGAAAACAUAUUUUAGAGCCAGGUGGGGGGGAGCACUGAUGAAUCAAAUAUUGAAACAAAUAAUACAUUUUGAUUUCAUGAUGACUAU